UCCACACCUUCUCCAGAAUUUAUUAUUUGCAGACAUUUUAGACUAUUGAACUUAGUAAGUUAAACAGGCUCUAAAAAUGUCCACCACCCACCCCCAAGUCAGGUUAGGUAACUACAACAAGGGAAAACAUUUAUAAUAUCUACAUAUUUCUCUUAAAAUUUUCUUUUUAUUUUGAAAUCACUUUUGCCAAUUUUUCAAACGCUUCUAUUAAGCACUGGAGGAAUGUCUUUAGUGUCCUAAGUGAGGUGUGCCAUCCCUCGACCAUGAUCUCUGCUCUCAGAAAGAAACCAAAGGCAUUUGAAAAGAAAUUUUUCUCCCCACUCCCCCAAACUUGAGUAGUGCUCAGUACACAGUAGGUCCACAAUAUAUUUUGUAAAAUCAAUGAAUGACGUGAACAUUAUUGUUUAAGGUAUCAACAUUUAGAAAGUUUUUAUUUUGUUUUAUUUUAUUAUAAAGCAUCUAUUUGACUUGACUAUGGCUGAAAAGUGAAUUUAAGAUCUUUUCAUGUCAUUCUUCAAAGGUGAAUAUGCCAUGUUUAAUGUGUGUUCAGUGCUACACACUGCUUUCCAGGAAGCCAUCUCUCUGUGGGAACCAAUAAAGCUAACUACCAGAAAUCUUCUUGUAGGUAAGAAUAUGAUGUGUUGGCUAUAAGUCCAGGAAUUAAUGCUACGGUGCUUCAGAAAGGCAAAUGCGUUGCAAGACCAAUAUUAACCUGUUAUUCAUUCAUCAAAACACAGGUUUCUAUGAUUUAGACAUUUUUUUUGCCUUCUUUUUCCUUUUAUUUUCUGCAUUCAUGGUAUUUUAUAGAUACUUCAGUUGUCCUGUGUUCAUUUUGUAUGAACUCAAUGUAUCAGUAGUUAUUGAGUACCUUCUUUGUAUUGUAUAUUAUAUUAGACCUAUUAGUAUGGCAUACAAACAAAAAUAUUAUAACAUCAUCCCUCAGUUUAAAAAAUUGCAGUUUAGUUGUGGACAUAGAUGGUAAACUAGAAGUUCAGUAGUUCAAUAGCAUAAAGAUAUCUACUGGCUGAAGUAAAAAAACAAAAUAAAACUAACAAUGCAUUUAGUUUAGAGAGGUAUGCAGGGUCAGAGGAUAUAUUAUUAACUCUGUACACCUAGCAACAAGUAAUAGGCUCUCAAUUAAUGUGCAGUGUAUUGACUAAUAAAUUCUAAGCACAGCAUUAUUAGUAGUAAUGAAUAAUAAAAGUAUAUUUUCAAUUGAUCUAAAUGUCACAUGAUACCAUAUUUUUAAGAAAAAAUUUAAAUUUUAAUGAUCACAGUUCUAUACUAAAUUCUGAGUUUAUCCUAUAUAUUCUAUUUUCUUAAGCCAAAUUUCUUUUGUGCACAGCAUGUUAAAACCCAGCACUGCUUUUAAAUUGGAGGUAAAUUUGGAAGUUUGCUUUAAUGACUUGAUGGUUAUGGAAAUGCAGUCCCUCCUACUUUUGGCUUAUAUUUAACUGUGAUAGUAAUAUUGGAAGUGAUUCCCUGGGUUUUUCAAUGGGUAGACUCAAAUCUAAUUCAAGGUAUACUGAGAUUAAGUUUUGCCCCACUUGAGCAAAACAUGUUGCUCCAUGUUAGGUAUACACUUGACUCAUCCUUAGCUCAUAAGCUGAUGCAUGUUCUCGACACAUCACACAGCCUCCUACAGCUUUUUUUCCCAUAAGCUCACUACUAGCUCCACAUGGCAGAACACCCACCACUCCUCAGGCCAGCAGAAUCACUAUAAUAUAUUUUCACAAAGAUAUGCAAGAAAGAACACACACAGCUCUCCCACACAGCUCGGAACAAUCAUGCAGAAUGAAGUACUGUCUAUUCUGGUUUCAUGUCCCUGUUUUCCAGAGGUGGGUAGGUAGAUACAAAGAUGCUGCUGCUGUAAUAAUCUUUAUGGUUAUAAAAGAUCUUUUAAAAUAUCCAGCAAAUACAUUCCUAAGGUUACUGAAUCUAUAAAAGUGACUCUUCGUUGAUAGGUAUCAAUUCACUCAGUAAUUAAAAAAAAAUUCUAGAUCUUUGGGGCAUAAGUUCUUCUACAUUACCAUCACUCUCCUUUUUAUAAAGGUAUCCAAAUCUAAAUGUCCAAGAAAAGACUACUCUUGCGUUUCAAAUGCCAGCAAGGCUUAUUAUUGCCAGCAUUUGAAUCCCUAUUAAAAACCAAAGAGAACCAAGAUAGUAAGUUGGGGCACAUCCAAGUCAGGAUGCUUGGCAGAUAGCAGAGACAGGGAGGUAAUUGUUAAAACGUGGGAAAGUGUCCUUUAGGCAUUCAGCUACAUACAGUCUCUCUCAGUUUCAGCACUGAUAUUUCAUGUGUGCUUCUACUGCAAUCAGUGGAGAACUGGGAGACCCAGAUCCCUCAUCAGAGAUGUGCUGCUUAUUAUGUCACCAGGGAUAGGUCAUCCUAUGUCUUUAUUUCAAUGGUCCCCUAAGGAAAACUGGGUAUCCAGAUUUAUUUGUUGCUGUGGACAUGUAGUAUAACUAAACUGGAAAACACAUAUACACACAAACAUAUUUUUUAUUAGAUACAACGACAGAGAAGAAAUUGGGAGGAGGGUGUGUGUGGAGAGAUAACAUUAAUUGAACAUCUACUGUUAUCAGCUGAUGUAAUCUUCAAAACAAUCUUAGUGUUAGACCUUUUCUUUCCCUUCCUUUACUUGUUGCUAGGAAAUAGAGCUCAGAAAGCAGAGGCACCAUGUGUAAUGUCCUUAAACUAGGAAAUGGUUUGGCUAUUACAAAAAACUAUACGGAAAAAUCAUGUUGGUAUUUUAAUUGUUACUGACCUGUAUAUCAAGUUUUUAGUAGAUGCUUCAUUAUUUAAGCAAAUUUAUUAUUAUUAAUAACUUUUGUCAUAAUAAAAGCAAUGCAUUUUACAAGGAAAGUUAUAUUUGAAUUUUUAACUUUAAAAUUUUUAAAAGCUAAGUUAAAUUAUAGAGCAGUAGACACUGUUGAUUAUGCAUAUUUCUGGUUAAAAAGUAUGAAUUGUUUUGAACCUCUUUAUUCUUACUGAAAAAUUAUUUUCUAAAAGCAGUUGUAAACAAUUACACUUUCACCUGAGUACAUGAUUGUAUCUGUCUCUAGCACAUAUUCCAGCAAUAAAAAGUAUUGUUCCUAGGACGUUACUAGUUUGAUUACUAAAAAAUGAUGUUGAGUUUAUUUUAAUUUAUAGUUAUUUAAUUCUAUUGAAGGUGGUUAUCUGGUUUUAGUUAGAUUUUGAUAUUUGCCAACUUAAUCCACAUGGGAUUUAUUUUGUUGUACUAGGUGAGGUAAGAAUCUAUUUGGAAUUGUUCCCUAGUUUUUAGGCCAUUUUUUUCAUUUGUUUCUCAGCAUCAUCUCUUUAUUGACUUAUGAUACCUUAUUUAUAACCUGUUAAUUUUUUUUUCACUAUUAAUACGAGGGGAUAGUUCUAGGAAGUACAUAGCCCUUUAAUGUUAAUGCCAUAAUACCACAAUGUUUUUACGAUUGUAACUUUAAAGUAUUAAAUAACUCAUUGCAGAAUUCUCUUAUUUUUAUUACUAUUUUCCAAACUGAUUUUUAUUACCUCACCUUGUUCUUUCAGAUACACUUUAGGACACACAUGCAAACACACCAUUUAAAUGGAAGCUACUUUUAUAUUCAUUUCAACUGUACUACAUUUAUUAAUAAAUCCUGUAGGAAUUGAUGUCUUCACAAUAUUUAAUUUUAUCAUCCGUGAAUGUGAUAUAUGUUAUAUAUCCCAGUCAUUUGAAAACUUUUAAUUAGUAGAAGUUAUGGGCAAUAGAUGCUAUGAUAAGUAGAAUCCAUAAGAAGAGGACAGAGUCAAGGUCCUAGGAACACUAGAAGCAUGGUCAGAGGCUGGCUGAGUCAGUAAGUGGAAGAGCAGUGGAGAAAAGGAUGACAACACAGUGAGAACCCAGGAGCAUCCUUAAUCAUCUGCAUGAGUCCAGUUUCAAAUAAUGCCCAGCUGUCUUUUGGAAGCUUGGCAUGGAGCUGUUCCUGUUGUAUUCUUAUUUUCUUGUUUAUUUUUAAAUUUUUAAAUUUUUAUUUAUUUCUUUUUUUACAGCCACACUCACGGCAUAUGGAAACUCCUGGGCCAGGGAUUGAAUCUGAGCUGCAGCUGCAGCAACACUGGAUUCUUUAAUCCACUGUGCCAGGCUGGGGAUCACACCCAAGCCUCUGCAGUGACCUGAACUGCUGCAGUCAGAUUCCUAACCUACUGUGCCACAGCAAGAAUUCCUUCUGUUUUCUUAAUUAAUGCCUAUCCUUUGAGGUAACUGCAUCAUGUCUUUUCUCCUACAAUGUGAAAAAGUGUAACCAAUGAUCAUUACUUAUUCUUUUAUUACACUACUAAAUUUGGCUUGCUAAUGUUUCAUUUUGAAAUUGUACACCAUAUUCAUAAGUGAGACUUAAGUAAUUCUAUGAGAUUCAUAGAAGAAAUUGUCCACCAAUUCCUUGAUUUGGGAACCUCAGCAGUUCAUAAACAUUGAGAAUGAUUUUUACAAAAAGGAAUGCCACAGGUAACCCUAUGGCUCAUGAACUACUUGAGAAAUAUGUUGUUUUCUCUCUAGCAUCUAAAUUUUAAACCAAGGAAAAUGUUUUAGGAUUGUAG
This 4573-nucleotide long non-coding RNA is filed under the name Sus scrofa (pig). RNAcentral describes it as "lncRNA (ENSSSCG00000060300.1)". Lineage: Eukaryota; Metazoa; Chordata; Mammalia; Artiodactyla; Suidae. The record is from RNAcentral.